Podarcis lilfordi (Lilford's wall lizard) is the source of this 8185-nucleotide non-coding RNA. The record is from the annotation of a GenBank genome assembly. NCBI's taxonomy places the organism in Eukaryota, Metazoa, Chordata, Lepidosauria, Squamata, Lacertidae.
GGAUAGUGUCAGCCCUGCGCCUGGUGGGUUUAAGGGGACUUUGGAAGGUGAUCUGAGCUUGUGUGCGUUUGGAGUGGUAAAAGCAUUUUUUUGCUGUUAGGAGAGGCAUUGUGGGCACUCCCAACUUUUAAUUUGACACACAUGUGAAAGCCCGGCCGGGGUUAAGGGAGGGCAGAGAGAUGACCUAAUAAAAUCCUUGGGAGUUUUUGUGCUUGCCGGUCUGAGGUUCUAUUAAACAUUGAUAAUGGGAUGAGCAUGCACUGUGUUGUAUUUGAAAGGUUUGCAAAUAAGUGCUCGCUACUUAUAAAAAGAAAGCAGGAACCCUGGUUGAGGUGUCUUUCUCAGUUUGUGUUUUACGUGUGUGUGUGUGUGUGUGUGUGUGUGUGCAUCAAAUAGCAAGUCCGGCCUUUAUCUGCUAGUAAGACUGAACUGCACCCCACCACAAAAUGAAUUAAAUAGUGCAUUGUAUAUAUUUUUUCUAUUGCUGCUGCUUAGUUCUAUUCCCGGUAACCUAUAUUAUUAGUGAACUUUCCAAAAUACGGCUAUGCCUCUCACCCUCCCACACAUGCUCGCAAACAUGAAUCAUUUUCAUGCCAUCUUUUGAAAAAUUGCUACCUCAAAGUUUGACCUCAGAAUUGCUGAUUAACAUAUGUGAACGCUUUUCCGGGAGAAUACAAACUUGUAAUACGUUUGACGAGCCAGUUGAAACACAUGGGGUGCAAUGCUUUUUUUGGGGGGGGGUGACUGAGCAUUCGGUGCUUUUCGUUCUGGGUGUGGCAAGAUCAUCACGGUUUUCUGUUGCUGUGUUCACUUUUACCACUUCUGGAAUCACUUUUCAGUUUGGAUUUAUCGUUUGACCUCUCAGGAUAUGAAAUGACCAGUCUUGAGCAACAAGCGUGUAGUUAGGUAUCUGACGCUCACAAGGAUGUGUGAUGAGAACCUUUUUCGUUUCUAACCUGGGUACCACUAAUUUGGUAUACUGCAGUACUUGAGGAAUCUUUGUGCCACAUCAAGCCCUUUUUGAACAAUUGUUGUCACUUUUUCUCCUUCUCAAGGUCGAUUCAAAUUGCAUUUUACCUCUGUGACGAUUUGGUAUAUAUUGCUGCUACUACUGCUGCUGCUGCUGCUUCAGAGAAGCCUGUAGCUAGUUUGACUGCUAUACAGUAUUGUCUAUAGUUUUAACUGUUUGGAGGAAUUGGUAUGAGACACAUGGCAUUCCUCAAAACCUGGCAAGCGAAGGACAGGGAACAAUUUAUAGGGAUUUUGUUGUUGUUGUUGAAAGAACAAUAGCUUCAAGUACUUGAUGAGGCAUUCCAUGCCUUUUACUGAUGUAGUUGAAAUGAAGCCACUCUUCCUGUUCUGGAACUCCUUGUUUCUACUUUGCAAAAUACGCUUUGGGGAAAGCCUAACCUUGUGGAUGGGUCAAAAAUAAUAACAGCCAUUCAUUUGUACAGGGACAUUUUUUUUAAAAGGGCUCUCUUAAAGUAUACCUUGAGGAUGCCAAUAUUCUUUCAAAGCAUUUGGCAUUAAAAAAAAUUGGUUAGAGGCAUUAAAAUAUGGAUUAGCAAUAGAGUAUAUAACACUGUAUAAAUGAAUAUUAUUUUUAAAACAUGCUUUUUUCUUCUUUAUUGCUGUUGGAUUAGGUGGGUACAUUCAUAAAUAUAGACAUUGUUACAAGCUGUUCAGGGUUCUAGUGAAAAAACCUUAACACAGAGCGUUAGGUUUUCUUUUACUUCAUGUGUGUUAGUAGCUACACACAUGUGUUUGUUCAUGAACACACACAAACAAGAGCCAAACAAAUGUACAUAAUGGAUAUACAAUACAAUGAAUACACAUACACGUUUCUGCGGUAUCUUACUAAAGAUUUUAAAGCAGUGCAGACAGGCAAUGUCUGGCUAUCUUUUCCUUGAAGCUAUUCGUCAGAUUAUGGGACUUUAAAAAAAAAAUAGAGCAAUCAUUUCUGUCAGACUAAUAUUUUGGUAACCAAAUAACUGUAAAAGUGAUCAUUAUCACAGAAAUAGAUAAUAAUGUAUUGCCAAAUUACUUCAUCCAUACCAGGAAUAUCACUAUUAAUAUUGAGGGAACUCAACAAAAUGAUAUAAUCAGAAUGUGCACCGAUAUGAACUCCCAUUUGAAAAUCAAUACAUAGGUUAGUGGCAGUGCAGUUAUUAGAAAUUACAGAGAGCUGCAAGAUAUUAAUGUGUAACACAUGAAGCACUCAUAAUGUGGCUUGCCUUUUUCAAUACAGUAUAUCUUCGAUGUUUUCCUCCAGGUUUUUUAUUUAUUUAAUCUUCACAGUUUGAAAGCUGCCAUUAUAAACAUACUUGCAAGUGCAUAAGCCCCACUGACCACAAUGGGGCUUACUUUCAAGUAAACAUGAAUAAGGUUGCACUGCACAUUUACAGUGUAAAUGGGCACUGGCUCUGUUGUUUUUAAAGUAUUCUUAUAUGGUGCCCAGAUGAGAUGUUGACUUCAGGAUUUGUUACAAAAUUAAUGUCUGCCUUUUUCUACACACUUAAGCCAUUGUUAUCAGAUGGGUCGCCUAUCCUAGACAUUCUGCAGAAUACGGAAUGCAUGCAGUUGGGUUUGAGUUCCUGAAAUAAAAUGUUUUGUGUUAGAAUAUAAAUGUUAGGUUUGGGCAAACUCAUCCUAAUCGGAUAUAAAGAUCAUGUGUUUUUUUCAAAAAUGUCUCUCCUUUCCACACGUUAGUGAAAAUGUCAUGUAAUUUCUUCUUUCUGAUGGGGAAUUGUCCAUGCUAAUUUAGAUUGAAAUUAUAGCAGCAUUUGUAGACAAAUCUUCAUCCCCAGACUAGUUAUUUCAGGCAUGCUAUGAAUCUAAGUCCAUCCAAACACAUUUUGCUUCCAUAGUAAAAUAGAAUAUAUGGCCUUAGACUGCAAAACUAUAUUUUAAAAGGGAUUCAUGCUCAUCACACAAAAACAGGAUGAUUUACUGUAUGCUUGGAACUCAUGCUAAAAAUAUAUAUGUUAUUGCUGUGGGUUAUGUGCUGUUAACAUAAUUAAUAAAAUUAAGGGAUUGUUUCGCUCUCUAGCACAAAUCAUUGCUAACAAUGAGAAGAAAGAGGUGUCCCUUCUGUUUGGUGGCUUGUGUUUGAGAUGAAAGAAUUUGGCAUUUAUAUAUUGGAAACAAUUCUACCAAAGCUCGUUAUUGGAGUUGAAUCCGUUCUGUUUUCUUCACUUGGGAGUAACUAUUUUCAGCAGUGUGUCAAUUCAGCAGUGGUGUUUCGGUUCAGAUGGUUAUAUGUGAAUGGUUAUUGGCUUAAUAAUUUGAAGCCUGGAUGAAACAUUGGCCAUUAGUGUAGUCCUGCUCACCUGUACGUUCAGAUCAGCUGUGUUGGGUUUUCAAUUCUAGCCUAUUGUCUGCUUUGGGAAAAUUUUGAAUGUUGUCUUAAGUCACAUGGCAUUUUGUUGUGCUUUCGGAUGAAACAACUGCAACUUCAGAAAGAAGCUGUGUGCAAUACAGUGAAACAGAUGUAUAGGUUGUAAUCAUGUCAUGGGAACAAAUGUAUUGCAAAGAUGUUAUUUCAAUGACACGAAUGUGGAUAUUGUAUGCAGCAUUGAGAUUUUAUUUCUUUGGAACCCUAAGACUCUGAAAAGCAACCCCAAUAGGCACAUAAGCAGCAAAUGGAAGAUAGAGAUUGCUUUGUAUAUCACUGCUGAGAAUUUUUGUGUGGCUACUUUUGCUUAUCCCUAAAUCACCUCCAGUAGCUAUGAGUUUAUAGGAGGGAGAUCACCAGAAAUGUGUGUAGAAUUCUGAGAAAUGUAAAAGGUGUUUUUCCCAAAACAGGUUGCUUUUUUAAAAAGCAUUUUAAAGUCACUGUUUUACAUAAAAUGAACUGCCCCUUGUGCAAACUUGCAAGAGCUCCCCACUUUUAAGAACAAUAACGACCAUGCACCAUUAAAAAAAAUAUACCACAAAACUAACCACCCUCCUGCUUUCUUUCCCCCCAUCUAACUAAUCAAGUGCUCGUUUCUCAGUUUACUGCAUUUCCCCCUGUUUUGGCCAUCUGGCUUUACCAAAUGCCUUGAGGAGAGACUUCCAGAUACUAAGAUGCCUGAAAAAGCUUUUCCCCCCUCUUCUGACUGGUAGUGUUCAGCUAGUGUGUUGGUGCCUGGUGUGAAGUAGGGGUCAGGUGUAAGGAGUAUUUCAUCAACCGCACACUGAUUUCAGGCUGCAUUUCAAACCAUCUGCAGCUUGGAUAGCCGCCAGGGCUCAAAAGUCUUGCUGGAGCUUAUAGUGCCAAAGUAGAGGCAAAUGUGUGCAAAUAGAGAGAAAUGCAUUUCCAGGAAUGAAGUUGGUAUUCACUUAAGUCCUUGUUUGGGUUGAUAAAUGGUAGCAUUUCUGUCUCUCUCUCUUCUCCCCACCUCCCACCCCUCUCAAUGUCUCGCAAAGCUGCCAGAGCAGCAACCUUUUAUUAAAAUACAUGGAUAAUAAUGGAUUGACCUUUGAUUGUAGUAAAGUUUUUGGAUUAACAUCCAGCCUUGGCACAAUGCCAUCAUUUUUGAUAUGGAAUAGGAAAGCAUGAAAUUUGUUUCCCUUAGAAACUGAGAAAUGCAGACUUGUCCAACAUAAUUUUCGCAUACUUACUGGCUUAAAAUUAUUUCUGUUGAUAUCAAGGGCACGGCAUGUUUGAAUCAUGUUUUGAUGAUUCUUUCAGGUUGUUGUGCAUGAGAAGCUGCAUUUUCCCCUCGCCUCCAAACCCCAGUCAACUUUAUACUCCUAUGCCUGCCAUAGGGCUGUGCUUUAUAAAACACGCAAAUGGUUUUGCCCCCUGAAAAAAAGAUGCACGUGUACACAUUCGCCAAAUCAGGUCUUGAAGUUCAGAGGAUAAAGAUCUUGCUAAAGCAAAUACCCAGUAUUAAUAUUUGUUGAUGCAUAGCAGCAUAUUACACAUAGCAUAGUUAAAGAGUCAACAGCCGCUUUAAUUCCGAGAAUGUGCCCUGAUUUGCAUGAAAAGCAGAUGAGAAAGAGCACCUUGGGUUCACUUUGGGUCUCAUUGUAACAGGCAAUGGACAACAUUAACUUUGAAAUGAUAGGAUGUCUUCUAGUCUAGCUUUGCGUUAGUCGUACUUCUGGAAGGGAGUUUCAAGUUCAUACACAACCCCGAUCUAAGUCCAUCAUGGGAAAAUACAAGUAGUCAUUCAAAAGAGGUACACAGAGCUGUGAAUGCGCUUUAAGCUCUCUCUUGUGGCUAGUCGAUGAUGUGGCUACUGGCUGGCUGUUCCAUUCCCUCCUGUUGGUGGAACCAAGUAUCUUACGCCUCUUUUUCUAGGGUAGGAUGCUUCCAUCUCAAGCAAUAGGUGUGGGGUGCUUUUUUCCUCUAGCAAUAAACUCUAGGAGCUUUUAGCUUAUUUAUUGUCUGCUUUGUAGCAGCUCUCUAAGGCAGCUGAUGCUCUCCAGAUGUUGGUUGGACUCAGCAAGCAUGACUUGUGGUCAAGUAUGAUAGGUGUCCUAUUGCAACAUUCGCUAUGGGCACCACCUUGGCUGUAGCCCAGCUCUAGGGUCUCGCCACAAAGUUCUUUCACAUUACCUGCUACUUGAGGUGUUAGUGGAUAGAGGAAACCAAGAUCUUCUCCAUCACAAGUAUACAGAAGGUUCCAGGGAUGUUCAUGUGAACACACACAGUAGGAUGAAGAGGCAGCAGCAGUGGUGGCAAGGGGACAGGUGAGCAAAUGUACUUGGUUUCAAGUGUUACUCUGAUAUACUGCAGUCACAUACACUUAAAAAAACACAUGCGUUCAAGAUUGUGGGCCCAGUUCUGUGGAGCUCAUUUGUGGCUGAGAUCAGACGUAUCCCCUUCCUGCUGAACUUCAGGCACUUGAUGAAGCCUUUUUUUUUAAUUUCAGCAGGUAUUUAAAGAUGGGUUUUCUAAUUUUAGUUAAUUUUCUAAAUUUAGUUAAUUUAAACUGAGCGUAUCUUUUGUGACCUCAUUGUACACUACUGAGACUGCUGUGUUACUUGCGGAAGCAAGUAGAUAACUAAAUAACUAAAUACAGUGGACCCUCCGGAUACAAACUUAAUUUGUUCUGGGGGUCCGUACGUACCCUGUAAAGUCCACAUCUAGAGGCGCCACUUCUGAGCACAUGCGCGGCACAAUAGAGCGCUUCUGCACAUGCACACGUGGCAAAACCUGGAAGUAUACACUUCCGGGUUUGCCGCAUUCGCAACCCAAAAGUUACGUUACCCGAAGGUUACGUAACCUGAGGGUCCACUGUAACAGAAUUCAAUGCGUGCUCAUGGUGUGUUCAUAACCUCAUGCACAUCGGUGUUCUUUCCAAGUUAUCACAAAUUGAUACUCCAUUUCAAGCAACAACAACUGGUGUCCGCCCUGUCACACCCACCCCACCCCAUGAUGAAAACACUGCUAAUGGUUAUAGGGGUAAAUAAUAGCAAAAGUUUCGCCAGAAUUUGCUGAGUUUUUAAAAACCCUUUUUGUUUUCUAAGAGUUCUCAUAAGCUGCAGCUGUGUGCGAUUAAAUGCAGUAAUAUCAAAAGCAUGUGUGAAUUAGGGCUAUUGUAAUAUACCAAUAAGAUGCAGAUAUGGAAGAGAGACAGUUGUCCUAUUUUGGAAGAGAGACGGUUAUCCUAUAUUGUCAUUACGUCUGUGGUAGGUUUAUUUAUUUAUAUAUUCUGUCCUUAUGUUGAAGUGUGUGUGUGUGUGUGUGUGUGUGUGUGUGUGUGUGUGUAUGUAUGUAGGUUCCAAUUUCUACUUAUGUCCACCCCCCUUUCAACCUUGGGAACAAACGAGAGGGUGUCUUUUCAUUGUGAUACAUUUGAGUGGAAUGCUGAAGAGAUGAUCAGAGGGGAGAGUGAUCCAUGUGGCCUGUACAGACAAUGGCUCAUAUAUCUUCAUGCACAGGAGCAGAGUGUACUUACGCAGUUGCAUAUGAGACUUGAUCUUCCCCUCUGAGUAGAUAUUGCAGUUGGUUUGCACAGUGAUGGUCAUUUGUUGAGGGGAGAGAUGUCUGCAUCAGCCCCUCCUUGUGGACUCUAAAGAGGUGGUUCUGUUGUCAGGGCCAACAGUGGAAGCCCUGCAUGCACAGGCAGGAGUGCGGUGCUGUGUCCACACACAGGCGCAGGGCGUAAUAUUCUUACCUUCCCAACACAUGCACACCAUUCCGUGAAGCAUUUUCCUGUGCAUGCAUUCAUACCAUAUCCAGAAAGGCACUUUGCUCAUGGGAGUCUCUUCAUGCAGAAGGAAGGGGAAUGAACGGGAUUAAAUGUGCAAAACUUGGAGAGAGACUUAAUUCUACUCCAAAUGAACUUGGAAUGAAUGCUCCCAUAGCUUUCAAGUUGCUUUCUGAGAUUAUCUGAAUCUCAGCCCAAACUGAUAGGGCUUCUGAAAUUGCAUGUACGCUUACUAUUGAGAAUAAUAAUUAAAAACAGCCACCACCUUGUUCUUCAGGUCUUAUAUAUAUAGGCUUGCCCUGGAAUGAAGAUCAAUCAAAACCCCAUCUCUCUGUGCCAGUUCUUCAUGUCCUGGAAGUGAACAGGGGAAACAGUGUCUUUUCUGUGGUGGUGCCACAACUCUGGAACACUUUCCUUGUGAAACUCUAUCAAGCUUUUUGUGUCUCAGUCACCACUGUUAUUUCAAUGACCUCUUAAUGUACAACAUAUUCUUUCUGCUGUAAUUCAUUUAAAGUGUUGGUUUUCUCAUAUAGGGCUUGCUAUAUAUAUAUGUGUGUGUGUGUGUGUGUGUGUGUGUGUGUGGCGGCACUCUUAGUGCAGUGGGCACUUUCCUGGUGUGGGGGUCCUGAAAAAUGCCCAGCCUUGCCACCCUCUGGAGCUGGUCUUGAUAUUAUAUGCUCUUCCUUGUAAAAACUGGCUGUUUGUUGCACUUUUAUAGUAAUGCUGUAUGCAUCAUCACAUUUAGUAGAGGAGCAGAUAUAAAUAGGCUAUUUUAGGUAACAUGCUCAGUUUCUGAAGGUGCACAAUGUUGAAUUAAUGCCUAGUUGAAUUAAUACUGUUGGUUUGCAUUGGUCUGGUGGUGACUUUCAUUCUUUUAACUCUCGCUGCCUCAGCUCAGUAACUUGUGAGAAAUGCAAAAAAUGAGCAUACAACCCUUUUGAAGUACAAUAAGAGUCCGAACAAAAACUUUAUUUUAAUAAACGUGAUUGUUUCAGGUGAGGUAGUGCACUCGAGGUUUUCAGAAAAAGAAGAACUUCAGC